UAUUGCACUUUUCAGAAUUGAUUUAUUUAUAAUUUAUUUAAUUUAAAUUUAUUUUAAAUAAAUAUAAAAAAUAGUGGCAGCCUAUGUAGUUUGUAGGCUUUGUCAAGACGUUUAUAUGGGGAUAUGUUUUUAUACAUCAAUGAUAGAGUCGUACAGGAAAGGCAUUCCUAACAUUCCGUCGCAACUUACAGAAAAAGUAUUUGGUACUAUUUGAAAAGGACAAUCAACCUUAUUAAUAUUUAUGUACACUUCUCCAGAGGUCUUUACCCCUUGACUGUAUAGCAAAGUAGUCGAGGACCACUUAAAUUUAAAUGAGCGGAGUUCGUAUGCGGCCACCUUAAUGGUACGGCGAGCGGAAUUCAGGAAGAAAAAAUAGAGGGCCCGAAAGCUUGCAGUUAAAAUCCUGGCCAUGAGCGGAAUUCGUGUGCACUGGACUCUUGCACAAUACCCGGAUUCCCGAGAGUUUCACUGGGAAUGGUAUUUGGAAACGGAAGUCCAAUUUGAAACGGAGGCCAGUAAUGCAGGCUUAGGAACCAUAAUAACUCAAACAAUAAACUAUGAGAAUGAUGUGGUAGCGUUUGCAAGCAGAGGGUUAGAUGGAGCAUGCCACUUUUAGAAUAUGAUAUAGUUUAUUGAAAAGAAGGUUUAGAUCACGUUCCCAUUUUCUAACAGAGGACCCCAGAGGAAAGGCAUGGUCUUGUCAAGCUUGCAGGUACUGCUCUGACUAAGAGCGUGCCGACCACUGAUCUAGAAGCAAGGAGUCCAGUAUAGAUACAACUCAAGCAGCCGACGCGUCCGAAGCCAGAACGACCACCUCCAGAUGGACAGAAGUAGAAGUUCACGGUCAUCUCUUUCAUAUAUCAAACUGUUGACGUAGAGUAUUCACAAAGAAAGGUUAAUGUAUAAUCCUUGUAUUUCACAGUACUGCCUUUCCUCAACAAAAUAAAAACACUACUUUGUGAUCAGAAAAAUUGUAAUAGACGAUAUACCUCUAUUCCACAGUAUUAAAGGAAUAAAACUGCAAAGCACACAUAUAAUCACGCGUAUUAGAUAACCGACGUGAGAUAAGCAUAUUUUUACGCUGGCAUACACCAAACAUAGGGAUAAAACCGGUAUAGAAGGACAUAACUGACAAAACU
Long non-coding RNA from Belonocnema kinseyi, 1139 nucleotides. RefSeq lists it as uncharacterized. The transcript is spliced from 4 exons. NCBI's taxonomy places the organism in Eukaryota, Metazoa, Arthropoda, Insecta, Hymenoptera, Cynipidae. The record is from RefSeq and is a predicted model, not a curated record.